GGCUCCCCGAAGACGCAUUCCAGUGCCAAGCAGCCGAGAGAGCAGAGCGGGGAGGAAGGAGACCCUCUUACGGAUGUCACUGCAGGGUCAGGUCCUCACUCACUUUCCCACCAGGGGACCCCUCCAGCCACCCGGUCCUAUGAUUCUCAAUCGGGAAUCACAGGCGUUACAAGCCUGUGUUCAUUCGUUCCUUAUCGUAGAAUGCAUUGCUGAUGAAUGCAACAACAUGAAGAGCUCUCAAAAACGAUAUGCAUACCUAGUGAAUGACUGAUUACAUUUGGAUGAAGUGCAGG
This 293-nucleotide long non-coding RNA is filed under the name Sus scrofa (pig). RNAcentral describes it as "lncRNA (ENSSSCG00070009865.1)". The record is from RNAcentral. Lineage: Eukaryota; Metazoa; Chordata; Mammalia; Artiodactyla; Suidae.